This 112-nucleotide non-coding RNA is filed under the name Ruminococcus sp. CAG:57. Its description in RNAcentral is "Staphylococcus sRNA 774". It matches the Rfam family "Staphylococcus sRNA 774". Rfam says of the family: Northern blot transcript confirmed in exponentially growing and stationary cells in three cultivation media. Trans-encoded. Lineage: Bacteria; Bacillati; Bacillota; Clostridia; Eubacteriales; Oscillospiraceae. The record is from Rfam by way of RNAcentral.
AAAAAAUUGCAAAAAAGGUAUUGACAUUCACAUUCAUUUGUGAUAUAAUAAAUAAGCACUCAGGAGAGAGCAGUAAAAAAGCAGUAAAAUAUCGCGGGAUGGAGCAGUUCGG